This 239-nucleotide ribosomal RNA is filed under the name uncultured bacterium. Its description in RNAcentral is "partial 16S ribosomal RNA". It matches the Rfam family "Bacterial small subunit ribosomal RNA", at positions 57 to 305 of the family's 1533-position model. The record is from RNAcentral.
GCAAGUCGAGCGAUUCUCUUCGGAGAAGAGCGGCGGACGGGUGAGUAACGCGUGGGUAACCUGCCCUGUACACACGGAUAACAUACCGAAAGGUAUGCUAAUACGAGAUAAUAUGCUUUUAUCGCAUGGUAGAAGUAUCAAAGCUUUUGCGGUACAGGAUGGACCCGCGUCUGAUUAGCUAGUUGGUAAGGUAACGGCUUACCAAGGCGACGAUCAGUAGCCGACCUGAGAGGGUGAAC